GGCGUCUGGGCAGCCUACGCUUUCCGACUAUGGAAAUGAUAUUAGACAAAAAGCAACUUCAAGUGAUUUUCUUAUUUGAGUUCAAAAUGGGUCAUAACGCAGCAGAGAUAACUUGAAACAUGAAAAGCGCAUUUGGCCCAGGAACUACUAACGAACAUACAGGGCAGCUGUGAUUCAAGAAGUUUUGCAAAGGAGACUAGAGCCUUGAAUAUGAGGAACACAGUGGCCAGCCAUUGGAAGUUGACAACAACUAAUUGAGAGCAAUUGUCGAAGCUGAUCCUCUUACAGCUACACAGGAAGUUGCCUAAGAACUCAACGUCGACCAAUCUAUGGUCGUUUGGCAUUUGAAGCAAAUUGGAAAGGUGAGAAAGCUCAAUAAGUGGGUGCCUCAUGAGCUGAGCAAAAAUUUUUUAAAUCGUCAUUUUGAAGUGUCAUCAUCCGUGCAACAACAACAAACCAUUUCUCAAUCAGAUUGUGACGUGCAACGACAAGUGGAUUUUAUAUGACAACCAGUGAUAACCAGUUCAGUGGUUGGACUGAGAAGCUGCAAAGCACUUCCCAAAGCCAAACUUGCACCAAAGAAAGGUCAUGGUCACUGUUUGGUGCUCUGCUGCCAUUCUGAUGCACUACAACUUUCUGAAUCCCAGUGAAACCAUUACAUCAGAGAAGUAUGCUCAGCAAAUUGAUGAGGUGCACCGAAAACUGAAACACCUGCUGCUGGCAUAGAUCCACAGAAAGGGUCCAAUUCUUUUAUUUUAUUUUAUUUUAUUUUUUUCCGAGACAUAGUCUCACUGUCACCCAGGCUGGAGUGCAGUGGUUCAAUUUCGGCUCACUGCAACCUCUGCCUCCCAGGUUCGAACAAUUCUACCUCGCCCUCCCGAGUACCUCAAAUUGCAGGCACCUGCCACCAUGCCUGACUAAUUUUUGUAUUUUUAGUAGAAGCAGGGUUUCACCAUGUUGGCCAGGCUAGUCUCGAACUCCUGACCUCAAGUGAUCCACCCGCCUCAGCCUCCCAAAGUGCUGGGAUUACAGGCGUGAGUCACUGCGCCUAGCAGGUCCCAAUUCUUCUCCAUGAUAAUGCCCAACUGCAUGUUGCACAACCAGUGCUUCAGAAGUUGAAGGAAUUGGUCUAUGAAAUUUUGCCUCAUCUGCCAGAUUGACCUGACUUCUUGCCAACCAACUACCACUUCUUGAAGCAUCUUGACAGCUUUUUGCAGGUGAAAUGCUUCCACACCAGC
Molecule: long non-coding RNA, 1238 nt
Filed under: Pan troglodytes (chimpanzee)
Lineage: Eukaryota; Metazoa; Chordata; Mammalia; Primates; Hominidae
Description: long non-coding RNA NONPTRT009573
Source: RNAcentral